AACGAACGCUGGCGGCAGGCCUAACACAUGCAAGUCGAGCGAGACCUUCGGGUCUAGCGGCGGACGGGUGAGUAACGCGUGGGAACGUGCCCUUUGGUUCGGAAUAGCCCCGGGAAACUGGGAGUAAUACCGGAUAAGCCCUACGGGGGAAAGAUUUAUCGCCAAAGGAUCGGCCCGCGUUGGAUUAGGUAGUUGGUGGGGUAAUGGCCUACCAAGCCGACGAUCCAUAGCUGGUUUGAGAGGAUGAUCAGCCACACUGGGACUGAGACACGGCCCAGACUCCUACGGGAGGCAGCAGUGGGGAAUCUUAGACAAUGGGGGAAACCCUGAUCUAGCCAUGCCGCGUGAGCGAUGAAGGCCUUAGGGUUGUAAAGCUCUUUCAGUGGGGAAGAUAAUGACUGUACCCACAGAAGAAGCCCCGGCUAACUCCGUG
Molecule: ribosomal RNA, 433 nt
Filed under: uncultured bacterium
Lineage: Bacteria
Description: bacterial SSU rRNA
Rfam family: Bacterial small subunit ribosomal RNA
Source: RNAcentral